Molecule: unclassified non-coding RNA, 1377 nt
Filed under: Hevea brasiliensis (rubber tree)
Lineage: Eukaryota; Viridiplantae; Streptophyta; Magnoliopsida; Malpighiales; Euphorbiaceae
Source: RNAcentral
AAAUAUAGUAAUGGACGUGGGAUCUUAUAAAGGAUAACACAAAAAAAAAAAAGAAUGGUUAAAUCUAAGGGUGUGCAAUUGAUUGAUUCGGUUCAAACUGAACCAAACCAAAAUAGGAAAAUAUGAGAAUUGAACCAAACUGAAUAUAUGGAUAGAACCGAACUAUACCAAACUAAUUGCUUCAAUUUGGUUCGGUAAUUUGGUUUUUGAUUGCUCCUUCAGUCCCUCAUUCUCAACAAACACCGCAACAUAGGUAGAUAUUAAAUUCAUGGUCAAUUGCUCAUCAUCUCAAUAUCUUCAGCAACACAAAUCACCUAACAAUUACAAAUCAAAGAUUUAAAAUAAAUUAAAAAUGAACGAUCAACAACCCAAGUUUAUAAAAAAAAGUCAACAAUCAUUGAUAGAAAGCUUCUAGUAAAUCUAGAAAUUCAAUUAAAAACAAAUAAUAAUCAUAAUAAUGUACUUUCUUAGUUGCCUUUAGUCACAAAUCAAACAACCCCCUACAAAUUUCAAUUGAUAGUUCUAUAGACUUAAUACCUAGUAAAUUCCCAACCCUAAAUCCCUAAAUUUCCCAGAAAAAAUUUCAAUAUUGACAACAAAUGUCACUAGAGAGAGAGGGAGACCUUGAGGUGAGUUUGUGCAUGAUGGCCGAAGUACCUUUCUUUGCGCAAGUCAUGGAAGAAGCAGAGGGUAUCUGGGUCAUCAUAUUCGUUGUUCGUGAAAUCGGCAUCGAUGAGGAGUGAGGACCACUUCUUCAUGUCCGUAGUGGACAAAGAGUGAGGCCUCCUUUUUACCUGUGCUAUUGCCGCUUGGAAUCAUUUGCAAAAAUUGCUUUACAAGGUGGAGACUACGGAUCUGGGGAUGGCCAUAGGGGGAUUGGAAUAGGAUUUGCAUGAGUGUGAAUGGGUGAGGUAAAGGCAUGAUCUCAGUGAGUAGAAAUUUGGGAUUUUAAAUAUAUAUAUAUGAAGGUAGAACAAUGUGGCAGUGCUCAGUAGAAAAUUUGUCUGGUCGAUUAGUUAGGUUUUUUUUAAUUAAACUGAACCGGAAAACCUAAUUAAAUUGGUUAAGUUUGGUUAUUUGGUUAAAACUACUCUGCUUUGCCCUAGCUAUGUCAUAAAGGACACAUUGUGCUUUGCCUUGCUCUCCCUAGCUAAAAAAUCUGAAGAUUGGGUAACACGGCAUGGAUGGAAUAGAAAAAGGGAAACCUAGAAGGAAUAAUUAGUAGCUUGCAGUGAGAUGUUAACUAGCUUAUGAUCUUAAGAAGACAAAAAAAAGGAACAUCUGAUCCAUGAGAUUUAAAUAUUAAUUGGUUCAAUUCUACUACAAGUUUUGGAAUUCAUUUAAAAUGAAUUCUAACUAGAAUUCAUUUGAAAUGAG